UUGUUCUCAGUCUCGAGCUCCAGAGAGUCCAGGCUGAAAAUACAUCACAGUUCAGACGUCAUGUCUCAGAAUACACCAUGUUCCCGUCGUUCCUGCCUCCUUGUUUUAUAUUAUAUGUGUUUUCUAGCUUUUGCUCUGUUUUCUUCUUGCGCUCUCGUUUGACUGAGCUCCUCCUCAUCUGCUCGUUAGUCCUGUUUCCACUCUUGCGUUUCCCUCCACACCUGAUCUGAAUCAGCAUCGUUAGCCCGGCUCUGUUCCCAGCGUUCCUCCCACGCUGCGUCUCAACUCAGGGUCUGCAUCCUUUCUGAAGGCCAAUUACGUCACAUUGCCACACAAAGGCAUCCUCCUUCUCCCUGUUUCUGGAGGAUCCAACCGCUACAGUCUUUCAUGGCCUCAUAUAUCCCAAGAUUCUUUGUGCGCCUGAAAAAGAAGAAAGAAGGAGAGAAAAUGGCGACAUCGCGUGGCGUAGUUCGUCACUUUCGCGGGCCUGGGCGGGAGAACUCAUAUCGUAAGGGUAAAACAUCUGGUGAUGCAACCAGGAAAUGUUCCGAAGGCGAGACCGUCACAUUUAACAACGGCUGACGAGGUUAACAAGGAAGAUUCUCCCCACCUGUGCAUCUCCACCUGUCCUCACCCCCUCGUUAGUGUAGUCUGUAUUAAGUCCAGUCAUUAGUUCAGACUUUGUGGAACAUCAGAGCGGGACACUGACUGAGACUGAAGAACAGCUGCUGCAUCAGAGCCAAAGCAUUGCAGAUGCCGGUCCAUCCCUCGUCCCAGGGUCUCGUUAAAUGCUUUCAGUCUCAGAUGAAACAGCAGAACCUGAAUUAAAACAGUGGAUUUUUCCGCCCUCUUCGUGUUUUAAGUUUCAGAGCGGUCUGUUGAGCGAGCCAGCGGCCUCUUGACCUCUGCCGUCCUGUCACGUUUGUUUUACUGCGCUCUUGUGUCGGCUAAACAAGAAAAAAACAUUACAAAACUUCAAAUCAUCCCGAGAGUAAACACAAGAGACAAAGAGGAACUGCACGAGUUGACAGGAAAGAAUUUGUUUGUUUGCAGGAUUAUUCUGGUGUCUGGUGUUUCUUUCAUCAUGUAUGUUUUGUUUCGCUGUGUACUUGCAGACAGAGUGCGUUCGUCGGUCCAGCAGUGAACCUGAACGACCCACAAACCUGGAAAAGCCUCCGAGGAGCCUCUUGGAGCGGUUCUGAUGUUGUGUUUAUGGGACGAGUCGUGGUUCUGGAUGUGUGGUCUGCUGCUUCUUUUGGCCUCCGACGAGCGGCAAUAAAAACUUGGAUCUUCUCUGGAAGCUGUUACGGCUGACAGUGAUUCAGCAGAGACCGAAACCAGAACCGAACAGCAGCUGCGUGCAGAUACUCAUCAGGACGGAGAACUCCACAGGGAGGCGGUCCUGUCGGGUCCUGAACGUGUCGACGACAGGAUCGUCCUGGUGGCUGUGAUGCAGAGAGGAGGGAGGAGACGCCGACUGCCGACCUGUCAGGUGAAAUUAACCACAAUAACGCCAGUCCUGUUAGUCAUCAAAUGAUUUUUAAAUUGUUUCAAGGUACUUUUCCAUGUUUUACCACAGAAACUGUGAUGUAGUCAACAUGAGAGUGUUGAGGACUUUAAAAAACAGAUUAAAAUCAGAUUAAAGGAAAGAUUGGAAACGCAGCAGGACGGACCUGUUAUCAAUUACUCACUGAUUGUCCAUGAUGAUAAAACCUGAGCAGCUGCCUCCCUUCAAAGGAAUUUCAUUAAUUUGGGAUCUUUAGAGUGAAGAAAUCAUAGAGUAUUUAUCAAAAUGAUGGAUUUUCUUUGUUGUUACAAUGUUCUCACAGCUUUUACUGGCGAUCGUUUUAGAGUUAUUCUUUUUUAAUCAACAGUGAGCUGGAGCACUUCGCAGGUCUUGUGACUUCGGAUCCCACUGCACAUAAAUCUCGUUGCAGACCUCAAUCUAUGUGUAUUUAGGUUUUUUGCACAGUAAAUCAUAAACUAUAUGAUUUGUGAGUCGUCGUGUGCAAUUAAAUCCAAUUUGACGUUAACGUGUCUCGAGCUCUGAGAGUGAGAACAGCAUCAACAUCACGAGCUGCUUCCUGCAAGAACACCACAAAGAAAAGACGCAGAGAAAAGACCUGCUCGUCUGUCCAGUCAGUUAGAGACGGCAAACGUAAGAAAAUAAAACAUCAGCUCAACUUUAUUUUGGAUCCAAGUGGGAGAAAAGCAACAGACGAGGAGCGAGAAGCCGUUCAGAGUGAAGAGGCUUCAGAUCUCCUCCACGCUUCAGCACAUUUUAACUUCUCAACAGUAAACGACUUAAAGACCGUUUGGUUUUGGAACGCCGGCAAUGAGAAAA
Acanthopagrus latus (yellowfin seabream) is the source of this 2344-nucleotide long non-coding RNA. RefSeq lists it as uncharacterized. NCBI's taxonomy places the organism in Eukaryota, Metazoa, Chordata, Actinopteri, Spariformes, Sparidae. The transcript has 2 exons. The record is from RefSeq and is a predicted model, not a curated record.